AACGAACGCUGGCGGCAGGCUUAACACAUGCAAGUCGAGCGCCCCGCAAGGGGAGCGGCAGACGGGUGAGUAACGCGUGGGAAUCUACCUUUUGCUACGGAAUAACUCAGGGAAACUUGUGCUAAUACCGUAUGUGCCCUUCGGGGGAAAGAUUUAUCGGCAAAGGAUGAGCCCGCGUUGGAUUAGCUAGUUGGUGAGGUAAAGGCUCACCAAGGCGACGAUCCAUAGCUGGUCUGAGAGGAUGAUCAGCCACACUGGGACUGAGACACGGCCCAGACUCCUACGGGAGGCAGCAGUGGGGAAUAUUGGACAAUGGGCGCAAGCCUGAUCCAGCCAUGCCGCGUGAGUGAUGAAGGCCCUAGGGUUGUAAAGCUCUUUCAACGGUGAAGAUAAUGACGGUAACCGUAGAAGAAGCCCCGGCUAACUUC
This 428-nucleotide ribosomal RNA is filed under the name uncultured beta proteobacterium. RNAcentral describes it as "bacterial SSU rRNA". It matches the Rfam family "Bacterial small subunit ribosomal RNA", at positions 29 to 504 of the family's 1533-position model. The record is from RNAcentral. Lineage: Bacteria; Pseudomonadati; Pseudomonadota; Betaproteobacteria.